Molecule: long non-coding RNA, 6413 nt
Filed under: Sus scrofa (pig)
Lineage: Eukaryota; Metazoa; Chordata; Mammalia; Artiodactyla; Suidae
Description: lncRNA (ENSSSCG00025039102.1)
Source: RNAcentral
AUGGAGGUUUCCCAGGCUAGGGGAGUUGAAUCAGAGCUACAGCUGCUGGCCUACUUACACCACAGCCAUAGCAACAUGGGAUACAAGCUAUGUCUAUGAUGUACACCACAGCUCAUGGCAACGCUGGAUCCCCAACCCAGUGAGUGAGGCCAGGAAUCAAACCUGCAUCCCCAUGGAUACUAGUCGAGAAUAUAUGAGGAACCGCUAUACUCAAUAAGAAAAUAACAAUCCAAUAGAAACAUGGGCAGAAUAUUUGAAGAGGAAUUUCACAAAUGAAAUAACGUGGCCAAAAAAUAUCUGAAAAAAUAUUCAUUAGUCAUCGGAAGACAUGGACGGUUUCCUGAUGUUUUCAUUAGUUAUCCCAUGCAAAUUUUUAACCACACGAGAAGCCAUUUUGUUGUCACAAAAUAAAUAAAUGAACAAAAAUUAGAUCUGACAAUAUCCUUAGUGGAAGUAUAAACUGGUGCAACCACCUUGGAAAACGGUUUUUACUUUAUCCAGCAAGGUUUAAAAUGUAUAUACUCUGUGAGCCAGCAAUUCCACUUCUAUAUAUAUAGCUUAGAACAACUCUUCCAUACACGCAUCAAGAGACAUGAAGAGUAUUCACUGCAGCAUAAUAUUCAGUACUCCCAAACCGGGAAAAAUACUUUUCCAUCAGCAAUACAACUGAAGCAUAGGUUGUGCUAUAUUCACAUAAUGGAAUUCUGAACUAUAAUGAAAGGAAAAUGAAUUGUAAUACACACAACACAGAGAAAAGAAGCAAGUCACAAAAGAAGAUGUAUACUCUGCUUCCAUUGAUAAAAAUAUUCAAAAACAUAUAAAAUCAAACAUUAUGCCAUUCAAGGAUUAAAAAUGUGAUACAACUGUAAGUAAAAGCCAAAGAAUUACAAGUACAAAAUUAAUGAUGGUUACUUCAUAUUGAGGAGGGAAUGGAUGAGAUCAGGGAGGCAUUCAAAGGCAAUGCUAACAUGUUGUCUUCUUUAAACUGGAUGGUGGGAAUACAAGUUUUUGUUAAAUUGUUAUGUGUAUACUUCAUUACUUAAAAAUCUUACUUUCCAUUGAGUAAAAUUUGAUAUACAAAUUAAAACUGUCUUUCACAUAAAUAUGUGUAAAGUACAAAUCUUUACUAUAGAUUUCUGAUCAUGUGGCUCAUGACGGAAAAAAACACGUGGCUCCGGGUUUCACACCGUCAUUGAUACUGUCUCCAGGAAGGCCCUACUGACAUGCUGUUCCUGAGAAGAAGGAACAUCCUGGCCAUUCUGUUUACAGAGUACUACUGACUCAGGCUGCCAUAACAAAAUACCAGAGACCAGGUGGCUUAAAAAAUAAAAAUUUAUUUUCUCACAGUCCUGGAAGCUGGAAGUCUAAGAUCAGGGUGACAGCAUGGUCAGGUUCUAGUGAACUUGCCGGCUUAGAGACAGCGGCCUUUGUGCUCUGUCCAUACAGCCUUUUAUCAGUGCAAACAUGUGGAGGGAGAGCAAGUUCUGGUGUCUCUACUUAUAAGGGCACUAAUCCAAUCGUGAGGGCCACACCCUCAUGACUUUAGCUAACUUUAUUUCCUCCCAAAGGCCCCAUCUCCAAAUAUCAUCACAUCAUUAUAUCAAUCACACUUGAAUUCAGGGGAUGGGAGGACAAAACAUUUGGUCCAUAACAUAUAACCACCCAGAUUAGCUAAUUAUCACUUUGGCCAGUUGAGAGGGGUGGAGGCCCAGAGGCCUUAUGAAGAAUAUGUGUUUUUAGAGGGUGAGAAUGAGAGUGAAGAAAGGUCCCAAGGAUUCUUAUCUUAUUCCCUCCAACAGGAUUGAGGGUUUGCUUAGCUCUGGGGACUUAGAAGGCCACUGCUUCUGAAUCCCUUUGCCAUGGUGGCACCUGUCUCACAGGGUCCUCAGGUUUUCUGUGCACAUCCUCUCCACCUUGCAGCUGCUGGCCCUCCCCGGCCAACGGAUGAGGAAGGAGAACACUGUUUCUGUGCAAUUCCCUAAAUAGGCACUUUCUUCUAAGAGAACUCUUCCCCAGAGAUUUCCUCGACAUUUCCGACGACAGAGAGUCCACAAGCUUGGGACUGGGGAAAAAGGCACAAAAAGGAACAGCUUUAAAUUUGAAAGCAGAGAAAAUUAAAAUCCUGCCAGAAGUAGCAUAAGAUGGGAAAGGAUGGAGAAGCUUCUGCUUUUGGUCUCAGUAUCGGGGUUUCAUAGAACAGAUGUCUGGGGGUUAUUUAUAACUUAGAACAAGCAGAGCUAAGAUCUGUGAAAUGCCAGUGGUUGGCUGACAAUGGAUAAGGCCAGGGUAAGGCCUGAUGACUCCACAAGGACUCCUGGCAUGUGGGUUUUGUGUGUAUUUGGGGAGGGAGAAAAGUUAUGGAGCCUGAGUUCCAUCCUCCAGGCUAGGGGAGACGCCUUCCAGAGAAUUGUUGCUUUCAGGAAUAAUAAAGGUCCCACUAAUAACAAUAGUAAUAGUAAUAAUAAUAACAACAACAACAUGUUAUUAGCUGACUGGGUGCCAGACACUAAGCUAAGUGCAUUAUUACCCCAUUUGCAAAAUGAGAAAACUGGGGCUUUGUGAGGCUAAGAAACCAUCCUAAGAUCUCGUAGCUAUAAGCAGUGUCUGUCUGGCACCCUGGCUUGUAUGGGAAGGGGGAGAGGCCAAGGGUGUAGACAUCUCUCCCUGUCACAUCAGUCCUUAACCACUUAAAGAAGCAAGAUCACAGGGGUAUAAAUCUGGACCAGGAAUUUGAUGGGUGCGGGGAAGGAGACAGGGCACUGGCAGGCCCAGGAGAGGUGCAGAAGGGAGGCUCUGAACAACACAUGUGUGUGUACAACCAGGUGACCACCCAGAUAAAGGCAGUGAGGCUAUGUAUGUCGAAAAUAUCAAGUGCUUAUUAAAUAAAUAUCCUGGCUCUUGAGGACAAUGCAGGUAGGCACUGAAGUCCAAAAUGACUUACUCUGCCAUCUGUCACCUUGGGCAAGCCACUUCCUUCUCUCUAGUUCUCUGUGACUCCUCUUUAAAACAAGACAAUUGGUCUAAGAUGCUUCCCAGCUCUGAACAUUCAUGCAUCUCUGAUUUCGACAUAGCAUAUGUGGGGAAGGGGAGUUCUGUGGAUAUCAGAAGUCAGAAGUCAAGCUCUUGGCUAUCAAUCUCCAAGGCCAAGAGCCAAGCCCAAAGAACAGACAGCAAGCACAAAGAAAAAGGAAGACAAGUCAGGAGGUGCCAUCUGCUCUAUGUGGCAGGGAGUGAAGUGCUAUGAACACCACUGAACAUGCCAAAAUCUACUCCAAGGGCUAUGGCGCUGGUGCCAGGCAUGCCCGCCAGUGAGUGGAUAGAAUGCUCCCAAAUUCAUGACUCCAGAAGAGAGGCUGUAUGUCUCAGAAUAAACAAAGGCCCAGGCAACUGAUGCAGCUCACCUACUCCUCAGGCUCAACAAUCCUCUUGAAGGUCAAGGUAUUCAGUCUCCUGCCUCUAUUAGUCUACAAUUCUACGUCUCUAUAAAUCACAUCUUCAUUUUUCCCCCAGUGGGUAUAUCAUCAACAUCCAAAGGGCCAGGAAUUCACCCCAGGACACAGGAGCAUGUGGGCUAUAACAUUCAAGUCAACCCAGAGGAGAAAUGACCCCUGAACUCUCACUCUGUGCCAUAGAAGGGACUUGCUUUCAUGAUAUGGACACCACUGUCUAGCUCAGCUAAUUAGUAAGCAUGUAGUGGACAGCCACCAUGUGCCCUUGCUGGGUACUUACUGUAUACCCACUCUGAAGAGGAGGUGGUUACCACGGUCAUCCAAGGCCUGAGUCUGAGGUAGCAGACCUUAAUGGAGGAGACUGACCACCGACUUUGAGGUUGGUCAGGCCAAAUUCUAAUCUUGCAUUUACCUUCAAUUAGUACCAUUAGAAACUAUAACUCCCAGUCUGAAAAUUGGAAUAACACAAAAUAGUUAACUGUGUAUAAAGUAUUUAUCAAAAAUACUGAUAAACAGGAAAGUCCUGCGUGAUAAUGUGGCUGUUAACAAUUAUACGGUGAUGAUGGUCACACUGCCCCCCCUGAAUUAAUCCUACUCUAGGCCCAGGGUGCUUCCUUGACUACCCAGCUCCCACUAAGUCACACCAGAUGGAAAAUGCAGCUGGUUAUGGGUUCAGGAAUCCAAGAAAACAUUGCCCUUCAGUCCGGGACCAGGAAACAUGAGAGCCUCACUAGCAAACAAAUGAAACUGUCACUUUCAGAAAUCUGGACACACUCAGGGAUGAUGAGGCAACUGGAGAUGUGGGAAUGGCAGGUGCCCGAGAUCCCGUCCCAGUCUGGUCUCCUGACUUACCUUCCAGUGCCUCAACUUCACUAUCUGUAAAUACAGGAAAGCAAACCGUAGGCUGAGGUGAACUAUGGUUAGAAAAUUGAAGUCAGGGAUAUGUCUCUAUUUUUAAAAGAUCCAAGAUGGGGUGAGAGCAUAGAACAAAAAAGUUGGUGAAUGUUUGUAUGUGUGAACUCCAUGGGUGAUCAGAGAGUGUGAGGCUUGAUGCUUUAGGAAUGGAAACAGUCUGCUUAGGAAAAGUCCCUGGGUCCAGGAAGCAGGUUCACCCAACUACACCUUUACCGCCAGGAAGCCAAUUGCUUUCAGAGGCAGAAAAGCAAAGAGGUCUUUCUUUGGGCUGGUCCAAGCUCCCACCAAGAGGGGAAUGCCGAGAGGCAACAUAGCUCAGGGAAAACACUUCAGGCACCAGGAUCUGGAGGGUGGAAUGCAACGUUCCCACAGCCUGCUAUGCAGGGAACGCAGCAGAUGGAACUGCCCUGACUCAGGGAAACAUUUGGUUCCUUGUCUCACACCGACUCACUGGAGAGGAUUGUGAGAAGGCCCUAGAGAUAGACAAACAAAAAAAGACGGUCAGGAAAGGGCGAGCCAGGAAGCUGUGCACAAAUUUCCCAAGAUCCUUCCAGAGGCCUUGAGCAGGUGGUAACAAAAGGUCAAAGCUGGAUGAGACCUUCCAGAACACAGAAUCCAAUUCUUUAAUUUUACAGAUCAGGAAACUAUGGGCCCUAGAGAAGUCAGUGCAACACAAUGGAAAGAGGCUAUGGAGUCAGGGAGACGUGAACUCAUCACUUAAGAGCUGUGUGAUUUUAGUGCAAGUUUCUUAACUUCUCUGAGCCUUAGAUUUUUCCCUUUGUAAAGGGAUUGUGUCACUUCUAAGAAGUGAAUGAGGUAAUGUAUGUGUACCAAUUAGCACAGUGGCCAGGACACCCUAGAGACUCAGUAAAUAUUAGCAUCCGUUUCAGGGUCACACUGGGGUUAAUAGAAGACCUAGGACUAGAAUCCAAAUGUCACGACUCUUGACCUAAUGCCUUACACAUUCUACAACCCAGCUCCAGAGAAGCGUCAAAGACAAAACAUGCCUGUGAUGUGCCACUACGGGUGGGGUAGAGAGGGAGUAAAGUGAUGUUAGAAGGGAUUUUCUCAUAACCAAAGAAUGGGAAUGUAUUACCAAAGGUUCCAUUUUGGGAGCUUAUUUAAGUGUGUGCUUGGAAUGGAUUAAAGCCUGGGAAUGGACUAAAUGUCAUCUUGAUGACCCGUUUGGCCUGCAGAUGCUGGAAUUCGACUUACCAGAGGCAAGGCUGGUUAUGCCCUUCUCUAAACCCCAAAAAGAAAGGAAAGGAGUAUGCAGUCAUUCAUUCAAAAUUUAUUGAGUACAUGGUAUGCCCAGAGAAACAAAGUUUCUAAUUACCAUUUUGCCCAUGAGGAAACAAAGAUUCCAAGAUGAUAAAUGAGUAAAAGGUCAUACAACCAGCAAGUAUCAGGGUUAGGAUCAAGGCCAUCUUGAUCUGACCUUUGCCUUGGAUUAUACUGGAUCUCCUGUCUUUUGAUGGAGAGAAAGAAGUAAGCUUGUGUCUGGGGCUGACAUCUUCAGAACGGUGUGCAUAAACAGAGAGUCUAGGGCCAAUGCCUGGCUUGCCCCUUCCUAAGGGUAGAAGGAGUCCUUGGAGGCCACCUUGUCUCUGGAGUUUCCCAGCUCGCUAUGGGGGCCACCUGCCCUGUGUAGGAAUCUCUAUCUAGGACCCCAUGACUCCCUCACCAGGACUAGACCUCUCCCAGGACCUCUGCCCCAGACAGCCUUACUGCCCAGGAGCUCCCCUGGACUGCCAUAUUCAUAUCCCUGUCCUGAGUGAUGAGGGAAAGGCACAGAUGGAGCUCCUGUGUGAUGGGGGAGAUAUAAGGGAACCCCCACUUUUAGGGGAGAUACAGCGCCUCUCCUCAGAGAGCUCCCAGGGUGAUAGGGUGACAGAAUAAACACUACUGUUCUCAGGGAGCUCCCAGUGUGAUGGGGGAGACAUGGACAGAGGUAGGUUCAAUAUUAAUAAUGGAGCUAAAGCUUACUGAGUACAUACUACAUGGCAAGCGUUCACAUAAAUAUGAACUCAUUUAAUCCAUACAGUGACU